UGUACGUGCAUGCCUGUAAAAAUCUUCACCUCCUCUUCUUCUCCCCCACACACAUUGGAACACACUGUAGCACUUGAAAUCCUUCAGUAAGGGAAAAAAAAAAAAUAAAACAAACCAAAAACACCCUGGAGGGUGAUCAAAGGUGAAUGGGAAGUUUGGCCACGGAGCAGACCCCAGAGGAGAUAGCAGUUCUUUAAGGCUUUCAAGCAGCUGACAAGAAAGCAUCAGUGAGUAUUUGUGGUCAGGGAUAAAGAGAAACAUCCUUUUGAACAUAUCCAAGCGUGAAACCUCCGUAGUAGUUACCUUAUAAUGUUAUCCCUCCGUGUCAUUUUUUAUGAAGAAGACUGAUUUAUAUAUGACAGCAGCAACUUUUUACAGCCCUCGGGGACUGAAACUUCAAUAGCUAAGAUCCGAGAGUAGAACUGUAGUCUGCGACCCCGUCAUAAAUGGCAGCGCGAGGGAGACAAGUGGGAUGUUCUUGCUCCUGUUACCAGACCUUACUAAGUACUGCCUGCAAGUGCAAGCAAUUUGCUUUCAGACCUCAAUAAAAAUUGUCAUUGCAGAGCAGCAGGGUUGUUUUUACUUUUUUUUUUUUUUUUUUUUCCCUGGCUUUCUCAUCCUUUAAAAUAGAACUCUCCUGAAAGUAAGAUUUGCUUUGAAGCCUGGGAAACUCUUAAGGGUAUUUAUUUAUGGUUUGAGAACAUUUGUGUUAUAAAAUGAAUGUCCUUGUAUUUGUGUUCCUAGAGUUCUGAGAGCUCCACUCCUGUGAAUGUCAACAGUCCUUCAAGAAAGAGGACCCAGAUUGCUGGAAAGGUUUAUCUGGACCAGAGCCUACUCCUGGCCGAGAUCUGAAAGAGCUCAGGGAAGAUGCUCUUCCAAGUGCCCUAGGACAGUCUGCCAGGAAAGGACAUCUCCAUCCCAGGAAAGGAAAGGUGGGCUGAGGUUUUUCUAUUCUAUGUGGGUUGUUACGGACGUGGGCCCUGUAUUAUAUUUUUUAAAUUUUUGUUAUGAUUGCUUAUCAUCCUUUGUAACCACAGUCAUUGUUUGUGGGUUGCUUGGGUGUACAGAGAAAUUCAGUGAUAUAUGGUCAAACAAAUUCGCUUACUAG
Molecule: long non-coding RNA, 1108 nt
Filed under: Numida meleagris (helmeted guineafowl)
Lineage: Eukaryota; Metazoa; Chordata; Aves; Galliformes; Numididae
Description: lncRNA (ENSNMEG00000020358.1)
Source: RNAcentral